AUGGAGGCCGACUUGGAAAGGAUAGAUGCCAUGGAGGAGGAUCAAGAAGUUACUUCUCGUUUCCGAGUCGGAUUCAUGAUGGGGGAACUACAGAGCUCAGCUAUCCCAAACUCGGUCAUCCCUUCCAAUGUUAGAUUUCUUUCUUAUGAAAAUAUGAAAAAGAGUGUCACUUGUUCUCCCGCAGCUAUGCAACAUCCGUGGGUGAAAGGAGCUUUAGCCGUUACGGGUAAGCUCCGUAAGGAAAUAAUGGACCUCAAGCAGCAAGUCAAUAAGCUUGAGGAGGAGAAUCGUAUCCUAAGGGGCAUCAUCGCCAAGAAUAUCACAUUACCAACGCCGAAGAAAGAGAUAUAA
Molecule: ribosomal RNA, 351 nt
Filed under: Triticum aestivum (bread wheat)
Lineage: Eukaryota; Viridiplantae; Streptophyta; Magnoliopsida; Poales; Poaceae
Description: partial small subunit ribosomal RNA
Source: RNAcentral